Molecule: transfer RNA, 77 nt
Filed under: Methylobacterium tardum
Lineage: Bacteria; Pseudomonadati; Pseudomonadota; Alphaproteobacteria; Hyphomicrobiales; Methylobacteriaceae
Description: tRNA-Ser
Source: RNAcentral
GACCGGACUGGUCCGCUUGGAGGCGCGUCUCGAAGGUGUGCAGGCGGCUCAGGGUGAGCGCCUCGCCCGCCUGGCCG